ACACUCCUGCGGGAGGCAGCAGUGGGGAAUUUUGGACAAUGGGCGAAAGCCUGAUCCAGCCAUGCCGCGUGCAGGAUGAAGGCCUUCGGGUUGUAAACUGCUUUUGUACGGAACGAAACGGCCUUUUCUAAUAAAGAGGGCUAAUGACGGUACCGUAAGAAUAAGCACCGGCUAACUACGUGCCAGCAGCCGCGGUAAUACGUAGGGUGCAAGCGUUAAUCGGAAUUACUGGGCGUAAAGCGUGCGCAGGCGGUUAUGUAAGACAGUUGUGAAAUCCCCGGGCUCAACCUGGGAACUGCAUCUGUGACUGCAUAGCUAGAGUACGGUAGAGGGGGAUGGAAUUCCGCGUGUAGCAGUGAAAUGCGUAGAUAUGCGGAGGAACACCGAUGGCGAAGGCAAUCCCCUGGACCUGUACUGACGCUCAUGCACGAAAGCGUGGGGAGCAAACAGGAUUAGAAACCCGAGUAGUCCCAUG
RNAcentral lists this ribosomal RNA (475 nucleotides) under uncultured organism. Its description in RNAcentral is "partial 16S ribosomal RNA". It matches the Rfam family "Bacterial small subunit ribosomal RNA", at positions 333 to 799 of the family's 1533-position model. The record is from RNAcentral.